Venturia canescens is the source of this 347-nucleotide long non-coding RNA. RefSeq lists it as uncharacterized. Lineage: Eukaryota; Metazoa; Arthropoda; Insecta; Hymenoptera; Ichneumonidae. The record is from RefSeq and is a predicted model, not a curated record. The transcript is spliced from 5 exons.
ACUGGAACAACAGCGCAAGGACCUUUUAGUCCGAUAGCAAUAAAGUAAAGCGCAGCCAGCGGAAAGGAAAUUUCAGCCAGGGAAGACUGCGAAGAAGACUUUUCCCCAUCAGCGACAGGGACAGUGAGUAAGCGUAGAUCCGCAGACCCAGCAGAAGGGACAAUUCCACCGACGGAGUCAGCGGAGGGAACUUUUGCAGCUAGUUGCAGCGAGGCGCAGCCAGCGGAGUGAAUUUUUUCAGCUGGGGUGACUGCGGAGGAGCCUUUUUAGCCUGCGGAGGCUUGCAGCGGAUAUAAAAAAUGGGCGACGAAAAAAGAAAGUUGUGGUCACAGAGUGACGUACAACAA